UCUCCGUUGGUGAACCAGCGGAGGGAUCAUUACCAGGGUUUUACAACUCCCGACCCUUCUGUGAACCUACCUAUAGUUGCCUCCGCGGACUCGCCCCAGCGUCCGGACGGCCCCGCCCCGGCCCGCGACCUGGACCCAGGCGGCCGCCGGACACCCCGCAAACCUCUAGCCAUCAGUCCCUCUGAUUUCGCCGCAAGGCAAAACAAACGAAUCAAAACUUUCAACAAUGGAUCUCUUGGUUCUG
RNAcentral lists this unclassified non-coding RNA (244 nucleotides) under plant metagenome. Its description in RNAcentral is "partial contains small subunit ribosomal RNA, internal transcribed spacer 1, and 5.8S ribosomal RNA". The record is from RNAcentral.